GGGUUAUGGAGUGUUAAUGGCUGGCUCACAUAGAUGUGGGAGAGUUACCAGUCAACAGAAUAUAGAAUCCAGAAAUAAACUGCUGUGCACAAUUACUAUCUUGAUUUUACAGUGUUACCUGAAGCCAUCACUGAUACCUGUAUUCAUUUGCUGGGGGUGCUGUAACAAAAUACCGCAGACUGAGUGACUUCAGCAACAGAAAUUGACUUCUCACAGUUCUGGGAGCUGAGCUGCAGGAGACUGGGAAGACCCUCUGGAGGAGGAGAUGGCAACCUGUUUCAGAAUGCUUGCCUGGGAAAUCCUAUGGACAGAGAAGCCUUGAAGGCUUCAGUCCGUGGGGUCACAAAGAGUCAGACAUGACUGAAGUGACUGAGCAUGCACACAUACAUUUAG
Bos taurus (domestic cattle) is the source of this 393-nucleotide long non-coding RNA. The record is from Ensembl. NCBI's taxonomy places the organism in Eukaryota, Metazoa, Chordata, Mammalia, Artiodactyla, Bovidae.